This is a long non-coding RNA of Teleopsis dalmanni, 600 nucleotides long. RefSeq lists it as uncharacterized. The transcript has 2 exons. The record is from RefSeq and is a predicted model, not a curated record. NCBI's taxonomy places the organism in Eukaryota, Metazoa, Arthropoda, Insecta, Diptera, Diopsidae.
GCUAACAUUAGAUAUGUUCGUUUUUCAGAGCGACGUGAAAUAUACUUUAUAGCAAUUAUUGAUGUAUUGACCCAAUAUGGUGUUAAAAAACAGGCGGCCAAAGCUGCUAAAACUGUGAAAUAUGGUAGUAAUGUUGAUGGUAUUUCGACAUGUGACCCCGACCAAUACGCCAAAAGGUUUUUAGAUUUUAUGGAUAAAGCUAUAGAGUAGAAAUAUGUUGUUUAACUUGCAAGAAAAGAAAACUGAGACCGAUAUUUCAUUAUACAUUAAUAUACAUAUUCGAUAUCUAUGUACUACAUAUAUUAAGUACGUCGCAAACACUAUAUAUAUAUAUAUAUCUAUGCGUAUAUAUAUGUGUUAAAAUAUACGCAUAUGCAUAAGAAUGUUAAUUCACACAUAUAGGUAUAUGUUGAUUACUAAUUUUAAAUAUUUUAUAAAAUAAUUAUGUAUAAGUUUAAAAUGCUUUAAGCAUAUUGCCAAAAAACUCAUUCAAUAUUCAUUAUAUUUAUGCACUUCAAAAAUGAAUUGUGACUUUGUAUGUAAAAGAACAGUAACACUCUUUGUGUAAAAAAAUAAAGGAUAUCAAAUUUACAUACUACA